UCGAUUCCCUUAGUAGCGGCGAGCGAAACGGGAAGAGCCCAAACCAACAAGCUUGCUUGUUGGGGUUGUAGGACACUCUAUACGGAGUUACAAAGGACGACAUUAGACGAAUCAUCUGGAAAGAUGAAUCAAAGAAGGUAAUAAUCCUGUAGUCGAAAAUGUUGUCUCUCUUGAGUGGAUCCUGAGUACGACGGAGCACGUGAAAUUCCGUCGGAAUCUGGGAGGACCAUCUCCUAAGGCUAAAUACUCUCUAGUGACCGAUAGUGAACCAGUACCGUGAGGGAAAGGUGAAAAGCACCCCGGAAGGGGAGUGAAAUAGAACCUGAAACCGUGUGCUUACAAGUAGUCAGAGCCCGUUAAUGGGUGAUGGCGUGCCUUUUGUAGAAUGAACCGGCGAGUUACGAUUUGAUGCAAGGUUAAGCAGUAAAUGUGGAGCCGUAGCGAAAGCGAGUCUGAAUAGGGCGUUUAGUAUUUGGUCGUAGACCCGAAACCAGGUGAUCUACCCUUGGUCAGGUUGAAGUUCAGGUAACACUGAAUGGAGGACCGAACCGACUUACGUUGAAAAGUGAGCGGAUGAACUGAGGGUAGCGGAGAAAUUCCAAUCGAACCUGGAGAUAGCUGGUUCUCUCCGAAAUAGCUUUAGGGCUAGCCUCAAGUGAUGAUUAUUGGAGGUAGAGCACUGUUUGGACGAGGGGCCCCUCUCGGGUUACCGAAUUCAGACAAACUCCGAAUGCCAAUUAAUUU
This 744-nucleotide ribosomal RNA is filed under the name Staphylococcus aureus. RNAcentral's name for it is "partial 23S ribosomal RNA". It matches the Rfam family "Bacterial large subunit ribosomal RNA", at positions 231 to 973 of the family's 2925-position model. Lineage: Bacteria; Bacillati; Bacillota; Bacilli; Caryophanales; Staphylococcaceae. The record is from RNAcentral.